GAUUCUUGGUCAUUUAGAGGAAGUAAAAGUCGUAACAAGGUUUCCGUAGGUGAACCUGCGGAAGGAUCAUUAGCGAAAACGUUUGUUGAGAAGGGUUGUAGCUGGCCUUACCUGGCACGUGCACGCCCGGAUCGCAAAUCUCACCCUCCACACCUGUGCACAUCCAGCAGCUUUGCGACGCUGACGGAUAUGGAUUUCUUCCGAUUCGGAUGCGUCCUGGGCUUGCGAGCUUUUUUUAUCACACACACUCUUUGUCAAGUAUCAGAAUGUCGUGGCGCGUAGAAGCGCGAAACAAUACAACUUUCAGCAACGGAUCUCUUGGCUCUCGCAUCGAUGAAGAACGCAGCGAAAUGCGAUAAGUAAUGUGAAUUGCAGAAUUCAGUGAAUCAUCGAAUCUUUGAACGCACCUUGCGCUCCUUGGUAUUCCGAGGAGCAUGCCUGUUUGAGUGUCAUGAAAUCAUCAACUGCCUUGAUGGGCUUUUGCUCCCAGAAGGGUGAGGUUGGAUUUGGAGGAUGUUUUGCUGGCGGCUCUUCACCGAGCUUUUGUCGGCUCCUCUAGAAUGCAUGAGCCUUCCUGUGCACCAGCGGAAGCGACUCUCUGAUGUGAUAACUAUCUACGUCGGACGGUCGCGCUCGCUUUGGGCACGAUGGAUUGCAAAACGCGGCUCGCACCUUUCAGGAUGUGUGUCCUUGACAAAUUCGACCUCAAAUCAGGUAGGACUACCCGCUGAACUUAAGCAUAUCAAUAAGCGGAGGAAA
Molecule: ribosomal RNA, 759 nt
Filed under: Phellodon sp. 1 RB-2011
Lineage: Eukaryota; Fungi; Basidiomycota; Agaricomycetes; Thelephorales; Thelephoraceae
Description: eukaryotic LSU rRNA
Rfam family: 5.8S ribosomal RNA (bases 299-452)
Source: RNAcentral